This is a non-coding RNA of Raphidocelis subcapitata, 73 nucleotides long. The record is from the annotation of a GenBank genome assembly. NCBI's taxonomy places the organism in Eukaryota, Viridiplantae, Chlorophyta, Chlorophyceae, Sphaeropleales, Selenastraceae.
GCCCUCGUAGCAUAGUGGAUAAUGCGUCGGACUUCUAAUCCGAAGGUCCCGGGUUCGAACCCCGGCGGGGGCG